CGACUCUGGUAGAGAUAUAGAUGUUAAAUGGAGAAGGCAGAGGUGGGAUGUACCCCAGAACAAGAGGGAUAAUGAGAACUGGAGACCAAAACAGGACUUUGACAAAAGAUGGAGAGAUCCACAGAGGGACCAUAGGAAUGUAAUGGGAGAUAAUUGGAGGAAUAGAUGGGAGGGGCCUAAGGUAAUCAAUAAUUGGAAUAAUAAAAAUACCUGGGAGAGGCUAAAAAGGACAGAUAUUAAGUGGGAAAAUCACAAUUGGGGAGAAAAACGGAGAAACAACAGGAACAGUUAUUGGGAGAAUAAUUGGAGAAGGAACCAUAGAUGGGAUGAGCAUCAGACCAAUAGACGGAAUUGGGAUAAUUGGAGGAAUAAAGAAGGGAAUAGAGACUACUGGGACCUAAAGAGACAGACUGAAAGAUUGGAGGCAGAC
Molecule: non-coding RNA, 430 nt
Organism: Pelobates cultripes (western spadefoot toad)
Lineage: Eukaryota; Metazoa; Chordata; Amphibia; Anura; Pelobatidae
Source: the annotation of a GenBank genome assembly